CAGGCCUAACACAUGCAAGUCGAGCGGUAACAGGGGAAGCUUGCUUCUCGCUGACGAGCGGCGGACGGGUGAGUAAUGUAUGGGGAUCUGCCCGAUAGAGGGGGAUAACUACUGGAAACGGUGGCUAAUACCGCAUAAUCUCUUAGGAGCAAAGCAGGGGAACUUCGGUCCUUGCGCUAUCGGAUGAACCCAUAUGGGAUUAGCUAGUAGGUGGGGUAAUGGCUCACCUAGGCAACGAUCCGUAGCCGGUCUGAGAGGAUGAUCAGCCACAUCGGGACUGAGACACGGCCCGAACUCCUACGGGAGGCAGCAGUGGGGAAUAUUGGACAAUGGGCGAAAGCCUGAUCCAGCCAUGCCGCGUGUGUGAAGAAGGCCUUCGGGUUGUAAAGCACUUUCAGCGAGGAAGAACGCCUAGUGGUUAAUACCCAUUAGGAAAGACAUCACUCGCAGAAGAAGCACCGGCUAACUCCGUGCCAGCAGCCGCGGUAAUACGGAGGGUGCAAGCGUUAAUCGGAAUUACUGGGCGUAAAGCGCGCGUAGGUGGCUUGAUAAGCCGGUUGUGAAAGCCCCGGGCUCAACCUGGGAACGGCAUCCGGAACUGUCAAGCUAGAGUGCAGGAGAGGAAGGUAGAAUUCCCGGUGUAGCGGUGAAAUGCGUAGAGAUCGGGAGGAAUACCAGUGGCGAAGGCGGCCUUCUGGACUGACACUGACACUGAGGUGCGAAAGCGUGGGUAGCAAACAGGAUUAGAUACCCUGGUAGUCCACGCCGUAAACGAUGUCGACCAGCCGUUGGGUGCCUAGCGCACUUUGUGGCGAAGUUAACGCGAUAAGUCGACCGCCUGGGGAGUACGGCCGCAAGGUUAAAAC
RNAcentral lists this ribosomal RNA (866 nucleotides) under uncultured Halomonas sp. RNAcentral's name for it is "bacterial SSU rRNA". It matches the Rfam family "Bacterial small subunit ribosomal RNA", at positions 43 to 900 of the family's 1533-position model. Lineage: Bacteria; Pseudomonadati; Pseudomonadota; Gammaproteobacteria; Oceanospirillales; Halomonadaceae. The record is from RNAcentral.